UACGAAGGGUGCAAGCGUUGCUCGGAAUUAUUGGGUUUAAAGGGUGCGUAGGCGGCCCUGUAAGUCAGUGGUGAAAUGCUCUAGCUUAACUAGAGAGGUGCCAAUGAUACUGCAGGGCUUGAGUACAGAUGAGGUAGGCGGAAUUGACGGUGUAGCGGUGAAAUGCGCAGAUAUCAGGAGGAACACCGGUGGCGAAGGCGGGUCGCUGGACAGUUCCUGACGCUGAGGCACGAAGGCCAGGGGAGCAAACGGG
RNAcentral lists this ribosomal RNA (253 nucleotides) under uncultured bacterium. Its description in RNAcentral is "partial 16S ribosomal RNA". It matches the Rfam family "Bacterial small subunit ribosomal RNA", at positions 524 to 776 of the family's 1533-position model. The record is from RNAcentral.